RNAcentral lists this ribosomal RNA (488 nucleotides) under uncultured bacterium. RNAcentral describes it as "bacterial SSU rRNA". It matches the Rfam family "Bacterial small subunit ribosomal RNA", at positions 21 to 507 of the family's 1533-position model. The record is from RNAcentral.
GGCUCAGAUUGAACGCUGGCGGCAUGCCUUACACAUGCAAGUCGAACGGCAGCACGGGGCAACCUGGUGGCGAGUGGCGAACGGGUGAGUAAUGCAUCGGAACGUGCCAUUGAGUGGGGAUAACGUAGCGAAAGUUGCGCUAAUACCGCAUAUUCUGUGAGCAGGAAAGCAGGGGACCGCAAGGCCCUGCGCUCUUUGAGCGGCCGAUGUCAGAUUAGCUAGUUGGUGAGGUAACGGCUUACCAAGGCGACGAUCUGUAGCGGGUCUGAGAGGAUGAUCCGCCACACUGGAACUGAGACACGGUCCAGACUCCUACGGGAGGCAGCAGUGGGGAAUUUUGGACAAUGGGCGCAAGCCUGAUCCAGCCAUGCCGCGUGAGUGAAGAAGGCCUUCGGGUUGUAAAGCUCUUUCGGCCGGGAAGAAAUCGCAUGGGUUAAUACCCUGUGUGGAUGACGGUACCGGAAUAAGAAGCACCGGCUAACUACGUG